GAAAAAGAAAAAAAAGAGAGAAAGCGGCAUUUGAGACAUGCCAAUUCCUAACAGUAUAGUGCUCCAUCAAUGGCUUUCAUUUCAGAGGUACUCCAUCUCUCCCUACAUGCUCUUCAUUGAAUGAUCCCAAGACAGCCAUUGCCUCUGUCACAGAUUCUCCUAACAGAUUCUCCAUUAAAUGUUUCCAAGACAGCCAUCGCAUCUGUCAGAUCAUUCAAGAACCCAAAUCCAGUUGCUGCUUCAUACUAGCAUUGUUGUUUCCAUCUUCCAUCUUCUACAUCCUGACAGAGAAAUCUGAAAAAAAAUUAGAAACAAGAACACCACGACUGGGAGUGGAAACUGCGUCUACUAUGAAAGACCUUAAUUCAUGGAACCCUGAAAUAGAAAGAUGCACUUGAGACCUGCAAAUACUUAACAGUUCCGUGCUCCAUUAAUGGGUUUCAGUUCAGAGGUAAUGCAUCUCUAUCACAUGCUCUCCAUUGAAUGUGCCCAAGAGAGCCAUUGCCUCUGUCACAGAACCUUUCAAGAAGCCUAAUCCAGUUGCUGCUUCAUACAGCCAUUGUUGUUUUCAUCUUCCAUCUUCUACAUCAUGACAGUAAAAUCUGAGAAAAAGACUACCAGGCAUGGGAGUGGAAACUGGCCUGUACUACGAAUGCCCUAAAGUCAUGGGACACCGAAAAAGAAAGAAAGGUAGACCCAUUGGAGACCUGCAAAUUCCUAACACUACAGUAAUCCAUCAAUGGCUUUCAGUUCACAGGUAAUCCAUCUCUCCUAACAUGCGCUCCAUUUAAUGUGCCCAAGACAGCCAUUGCCUCUGUCACAGAACAUUUCAAGAACACUAAUCCAGUUGCUGCUUCAGACAGGCAUUGUUGUUUCCAUCUGCCAUCUUCUACAUCAUGACCUGAAGUUCUGAGGUAAAAAACACCAGGCCCAGAGUGGAAGCUGGCCUUACUAUGAAAGACCUAAUAGUCAUGGGAUCCUGAAAAAGAAAGAGCAACCCAUUUGAGACCUGAAAAUUUCUAACAGUUCAGUGCUCCAUCAAUGCCUUUCAGUUUAGAGGUUAUAUGUCUCUUCUAACAUGCUCUCCACUUCAUGUUCCCAAGAUAACCAUUGCCUCUGUCACAGAAGAUUUCAAGAACAUUAACCCAGCUGAUGCUUCAAACAGUCAUUGUCAUUUCCAUCUUCCAUCUUCUAGAGCAUGACAGUAAAUUUGGGGGAAAACACUCCAAACCUAGGAGUGCAUUCUGGCCUGUACGCUGAAUGCCCUGAAGUCAUGGAACCCCCAGAAGAAAGAAAGACCCACUGGAGACCUGCCAAUACCUAACAGUUCAGUGCACCUUCAUUGGCUGUCACUUCUGAGGUCAUAUAUCUCUACUAACAUGCUCUUCAUUUAAUGUUCCCAAGGCAACCAUUGACUGUCACAGAAAUUCUCAGAACCCUAAUCCAGUUGCUGCUCCACACAGGCAUUGUCGCUUCCUUCUUCCAUCUUCUACAUCGUGACACUGAAAUCUGAGGAAAAGAACACUAUGCCUGGGAGUGGAUGCUGGCCUUUACUAUGAAAGACCUAAAGUCAGAGAAGAAAAGAAAGACCUGCUUGAGACCUGCCAAUUCCUAACACUUCAGUGCUCUGUAAUUGGCUAUCACUUCUGAGACAGGCAUUGUCGUUUCCAUCUUCCAUCUUCUACAUCAUGACAGUGAAAUCUGAGGAAAAGAACACCAAGACUGGGAGUGGAAGCUGGCCUGUACUGUGAAUACUCUAAAGUCAUGGGGCCCUGAAAACGAGUGAAGGACCCCUGUAAGACAUACAAUUCCCAACAGUUCAUUGCUGCAAAAAUGCCUUUCAGUUCAGAGGUAAUCCUUCUCUCCUAACAUGCUCUCCAUUUAGUGUACCCAAGACAGCCAUUGCCUCUGUCACAGAACAUUUCAAGAACCUUAAUCCAGUUACUGCUUCAGACAGGCAUUGUUAUUUCCUUCUUCCAACUUCUACAUUAUGACAGUAAACUCUGAGGAAUAGAAUACCUCCACUGGAAGUGGAAGCUUCCUGAACUAUGAUUGCCCUAAAAUCAUGGAACACUGAAAAAGAAAGAAAGAUCCACUUGAGACAUGCAAAUUCCUAACAGAUUAGUGCUCCAUAAGUGGCUUUCAGUUCAGAGGUAAUCCAUCUCUCCUGAUACACUCUCCAUUUAAUGUGCCCAAGACAGCCAUUGCCUCUGUCAGAGAACAUUUCAAGAACCCUAAUCCAGUUGCUGCUUCAGAAGUCAUUGUGUGGAUUUCACCUUCCAUCUUCUACAGUAUGACUGUAAAAUCUGAUGAAAAGAUUUCCACACCUUGUCGUUGAAGCCCUCCUUUACUAUGAAUGCCAUAAAGUUAUGCGACCCGGAAAUCAAAAGACCUGCUUAAGACAUGUAAUAUUCUAACAGUUCAGUGCUCCAUCAAUGGCUUUCACUUCAGAGGUAAUCCAUCUCUCCUAACUUGAUCUCCCUUUAAUGUGCCCCAGACAGCCAUUGCCUCUGUCACAGAACAUUUCUAGAACCCUACUGCAGUUUGUACUUCACACAGGCAUUGUUGUUUCCAUCUUCCAUCUUCUACAUCAUGACAGUAAAAUCGGAGAAAAAGAACACCACACCUGGGAGUGGGAGCUGGCCUGUACUAUGAAUGCCCUAAACUCAUGGGACACCAAAAAACAAAGAAAGAUAGACCCAUUUGAGACCUGCAAAUUUCUAACACUACAGUGCUCCAUCAAUGGCUUUCAGUUCAGGGGUAAUCCAUCUCUUUUCACAUACUCUUCAUGGGAUGUGCCCAAGACAGCCAUUGCCUCUGUCACAAAACAUUUCAAGAACCUUAAUCCAGUUGCUGCUUCACACAGGCAUUGUUGUUUCCGUCUUCCAUCUUAUACAUCAUGACUGUAAAAUCUGAGGAAAAGAACACCAUGCCUGUGAGUGGAAGCCUCCCAUACUAUGAAGGCUCUAAAUGCAUGGUACACUGAAAAAGAAAGACCCAGUUGAGACAUGCAAAUUCCUAACAGGUCAGUGCUCCCUAUGUGGCUUUCAAUUGAGAGGUGAUCCAUCUCUCCUGAUACACUCUUCAUUUAAUGUGCUCAAGAGAGCCAUUGCCUCUGUCACAGAACAUUUGAAGAACUCUAAUCCAGUUACUACUUCAAAAGUCAUUGUCCUUUCCACCUUCCAUCUUCUCAAUCAUGACCUGAAAAUCUGAGGAAUAGAACACAAUGCCUGGGAGUGAAAGCUGAACAUUAGAAUGAAAGACCCAAAAGUCAUGGGACCAUGAAAAAGAAAGAAUGACUCAUUUGAGACCUGAACAUACCUAACAGUUCAAUGCUCCAUCAAUGCCUUUCAGUUUACAGUUUAUAUGUCUCUCCUAACAUGCUUUCCAUUUCAAGUUCCCAAGAUAACCAUUGCCUCUGUCACAGAAGAUUUCAAGAACACUAACCCAGCUGCUGCUUCAAACAGUCAUUGUCAUUUCCAUCUUGCAUCUUCUAGAGCAUGACAGUGAAAUUUCGGAGAAAAUACUCCAAACCUGGGAGUGCAUGCUGGCCUGUACUCUGAAUGCCCUGAAGUCAUGGAACCCCCAGAAGAAAGAAAGACCCAUUGGAGACCUGUCAAUUCCUAACAGUACAGUGCACCUUCAUUGGCUGUCACUUCUGAGGUCAUAUAUCUCUACUAAAUGCUCUUCACUUAAUGUUUCCAAGACAACCAUUGACUGUCACAGAACUUUUCAGAAGCCUAAUGCAGUUGCUGCUCCACAUAGGCAUUGUCCUUUCCUUCUUCCACCUUCUACAUCAUGACGCUGAAAUCUGAGGAAGAGAACACCAUGCCUGGGAGUGGAUGCUGGCCUUUACUAUGAAAGACCUAAAGUCAGAGAAGAAAAGAAAGACCUGCUUGAAACCUGCCAAUUCCUAACACUUCAGUGCUCUGUAAUUGGCUAUCACUUCUGAGGUAAUUUCUCUCUGUGUUAACGUGCUCUCCAUUUACUAUUCCCAAGAUAGGAUUGCCUCUGUCACAGAACAUUUCAAGAACCCUAAUUCACUUGCUCCUUCAGACAGGCAUUGUCGUUUCCAUCUUCCAUCUUCUACAUCAUGACAGUGAAAUCUGAGGAAAAUAACACCAAGCCUGGGAGUGGAAGCUGGCCUGUACUGUGAAUGCCCUAAACUCAUGAGACCCUGAGAAAGAGUGGAGGACCCCUGUGAGACAUACAAUUCCCAACAGUUCAUUGCUGCCAAAAUGGCUUUCAGUUCAGAGGUAAUCCUUCUCUCCUAACAUGCUCUCCAUUUAAUGUGCCCCAAAUGGCCAUUGCCUCUGUCACAGAACAUUUCAAGAACCCUAAUCCAGUUGCUGCUUCACACAGGCAUUGUUAUUCCUUCUUCCAACUUCUACAUUAUGAUAGUAAACUCUGAAGAAUACAAUACCUCCACUGGGAGUGUAAGCUUCCCAAACUAUGAUUGCCCUAAAAUCAUGGAACACUGAAAAAGAAAGAAAGAUCCACUUGAGACAUGAAAAUUCCUAACAGAUCAGUGCUCCAUAAGUGGCUUUCAGUUCAGAGGUAAUCCAUCUCUCCUGAUACACUCUUCAUUUAAUGUGCUCAAGAGAGCCAUUGCCUCUGUCACAGAAAAUUUGAAGAACCCUAAUCCAGUUGCUGCUUCAGAAGUCAUUGUGUGGAUUCCACCUUCCAUCUUCUACAUCAUGACCUGAAAAUCUGUGGAUAGAACACCAUGCCUGAAAGUUAAACCUGAACAUUAGUAUGAAAGAUCCAAAAGUCAUGGGACCAUGAAAAAGAAAGAAUGACUCAUUUGAGACCUGAACGUACCUAACAGUUCAGUGCUCCAUCAAUGCCUUUCAGUUUACAGUUUAUAUGUCUCUCCUAACAUGCUUUCCAUUUCAAGUUCCCAAGAUAGCCAUUGCCUCUGUCACAGAAGAUUUCAAGAACACUAACCAAGCUGCUGCUUCAAACAGUCAUUGUCAUUUUCAUCUUCCAUCUUCUAGAGCAUGACAGUAAAUUUGGGGGAAAAUACCCCAAACCUGGGAGUGCAUGCUGGCCUGUACUCUGAAUGCCCUGAAGUCAUGGAACCCGCAGAAGAAAGAAAGACCCAUUGGAGACCUGUCAAUUCCUAACAGUACAGUGCACCUUCAUUGGCUGUCACUUCUGAGGUCAUACAUCUCUACUAACAUGCUCUUCAUUUAAUGUUUCCAAGACAACCAUUGACUGUCACAGAACUUUUCAGAACCCUAAUGCAGUUGAUGCUCCACACAGGCAUUGUCCUUUCCUUCUUCCAUCUUCUACAUCAUGACUCUGAAAUCUGAGAAAAAGAACACCAUGCCUGGGAGUGGAUGCUGGCCUUUACUAUGAAUGACCAAAGUCAGAGAAGAAAAGAAAGACCUACUUGAGACCUGAAAAUUCCUAACAUUCAGUGCUCUGUAAUUGGGUAUCACUUCUAAGACAGGCAAUGUUGUUUCCAUCUUGCGUCUUCUACAUCAUGACAGUGAAAUCUGAGGAAAAGAACACAAGCCUGGGAGUGGAAGCUGGCCUGUACUGUGAAUGCCCUAAACUCAUGAGACCCUGACAAAAAGUGAAGGACCCCGGUAAUACAUACAAUUCCGAAAAGUUCAUUGCUGCAAAAAUGCCUUUCAGUUUAGAGGUAAUCCUUCUCUCUUAAUAUGCUCUCAUUUACUAUUCCCAAGACAGCCAUUGCCUCUGUCACAGAACAUUUCAAGAACCCCAAUCUAUAACACAUGGUGUGCAUGUGACCUUCAGCGAAGUUUCUUACUCAAUGUAUUUUGAGUGAUCCUUUCACAAGUGUACCUGUCUCCCUUGAAUUUGUUAGGAACACAAUAGUGCAUUUUAAUGGUAUGUUCUUUCUGAUUGACACAAUCUCUAUUCACACACAUUCAUACCAUUUUCAUGACGACAGCCAAGCACUGUGAUGAUUUGGUAGCCAUAUUUUAAUCUUUAGGUGACAUAGCAUACAAGCUUUCUAUCAUUUUGUUGUGAAUUCUUAUAUUUGAACAUUAAAUAGUACUUAUAAUUGUAUUUUUUGUUCCAUCAAUCAUAAACACUCAUUUUUUAUUCUCUGCUUUAUAACAUACGGAUAUUAGUACUUUUGACUCUUCCUCUGAGUUCUUCCUCUGAGAGAGAGAGAGAAUUAUUUAAUUUUUAGUUCUCAGUGGACACAACAUCUUUGUAUUUUUUUUUUUUAAUGUGGUGCUGAGGAUCUAACCCAGGCCA
Ictidomys tridecemlineatus (thirteen-lined ground squirrel) is the source of this 6237-nucleotide non-coding RNA. Lineage: Eukaryota; Metazoa; Chordata; Mammalia; Rodentia; Sciuridae. The record is from RefSeq and is a predicted model, not a curated record.